This 483-nucleotide ribosomal RNA is filed under the name uncultured bacterium. Its description in RNAcentral is "partial 16S ribosomal RNA". It matches the Rfam family "Bacterial small subunit ribosomal RNA", at positions 28 to 507 of the family's 1533-position model. The record is from RNAcentral.
GACGAACGCUGGCGGCGUGCUUAACACAUGCAAGUCGAACGCUGAAGCUCAGCUUUUGUUGGGUGGAUGAGUGGCGAACGGGUGAGUAACACGUGAGUAACCUGCCUCCUUCUUUGGGAUAACGCCCGGAAACGGGUGCUAAUACUGGAUAUUCACUGGUCUUCGCAUGGGGGUUGGUGGAAAGGGUUUUUCUGGUGGGGGAUGGGCUCGCGGCCUAUCAGCUUGUUGGUGGGGUGAUGGCCUACCAAGGCUUUGACGGGUAGCCGGCCUGAGAGGGUGACCGGUCACAUUGGGACUGAGAUACGGCCCAGACUCCUACGGGAGGCAGCAGUGGGGAAUAUUGCACAAUGGGCGCAAGCCUGAUGCAGCGACGCCGCGUGAGGGACGGAGGCCUUCGGGUUGUGAACCUCUUUCGCUCAUGGUCAAGCCGCAACAAUGGUUGUGGUGAGGGUAGUGGGUAAAGAAGCGCCGGCUAACUACGUG